RNAcentral lists this ribosomal RNA (411 nucleotides) under uncultured bacterium. RNAcentral describes it as "bacterial SSU rRNA". It matches the Rfam family "Bacterial small subunit ribosomal RNA", at positions 86 to 493 of the family's 1533-position model. The record is from RNAcentral.
UGGCGGCGAGUGGCGAACGGGUGAGUAAUACAUCGGAACGUAUCCUGGAGUGGGGGAUAGCCCGGCGAAAGCCGGAUUAAUACCGCAUACGCUCUGAGGAGGAAAGCGGGGGACCUUCGGGCCUCGCGCUCAAGGGGCGGCCGAUGGCGGAUUAGGUAGUUGGUGGGGUAAAGGCCUACCAAGCCGACGAUCCGUAGCUGGUCUGAGAGGACGACCAGCCACACUGGGACUGAGACACGGCCCAGACUCCUACGGGAGGCAGCAGUGGGGAAUUUUGGACAAUGGGGGCAACCCUGAUCCAGUAAUGCCGCGUGUGUGAAGAAGGCCUUCGGGUUGUAAAGCACUUUUGUCCGGAAAGAAAUCAUCGGGGCCAAUACCCCUGGUGGAUGACGGUACCGGAAGAAUAAGCAC